UUGGUUGGUAAAUCAAGUCACUGAGGCACGGUGUACUAAGUAUUUUGUGCCAGGCUUUCUCUCAGUAUUUUGUACCACCUUGCCUGGUGAUUGAUGUGCUGGAUUAUGAGAAUUCGUUUCUGAGCAUGGAAGUAGGGGAUUUCCAAGCACAGCUUUGUUAGGAGUUACAGAGGUUAACCCAUGAUAGACUUUUGAAUUUGAUCUUUUAGUGGUGUUCUAGGGGAAUAAUGUGCAAGCAUUUGCUCUUAUAUUAUUCCUUCUGAGAUUAGGGGAAAAACAAUAAUCAUAUCAAUUCCAUUAGCAGGGAAUAUUGAUGAGAAAAAUCACACAGAGGGUGCUGAGUAGAUGAUUCCAACCUGCCAAGCAGCCACCCUGUGACCUCCUGGCACCAACAAGUGACCUCAUCAAGACAUUGUGGCCUGAUGGCUCCCAGCAAAAGACAUCUUGCAGGAGAUGGAAACUCAACUGAAUCUUGAAAGAAAUUCAAGGAUUGCUGCGAGGCCUUGUUUGAAAGAACUAAACAAACAUAAGGAUCAGAAACAGACCUGGAAGAGCCCAACAGAAUGUAAGAUUUCUUCAAAACAUCAUUCAACUAUCUUAAUGAAAAAUGAAGCUCUUCCCUUCCAAGGACUCAGAUUCCAUCAAAAUAAAUAAUGAAUGAAAACCUUCAGGGAAUAGUAAAGGAGAGGAAUCAGAGGAUCAAGAGUUUAGGGUAAAAAUUGCAUUAGAUUGUACUUUCUUUCUCUUUAGCCUGAAAUUUUACCAUUAGA
This 770-nucleotide long non-coding RNA is filed under the name Monodelphis domestica (gray short-tailed opossum). RNAcentral's name for it is "lncRNA (ENSMODG00000046780.1)". The record is from RNAcentral. Lineage: Eukaryota; Metazoa; Chordata; Mammalia; Didelphimorphia; Didelphidae.